This is a long non-coding RNA of Temnothorax curvispinosus, 704 nucleotides long. RefSeq lists it as uncharacterized. Lineage: Eukaryota; Metazoa; Arthropoda; Insecta; Hymenoptera; Formicidae. The transcript is spliced from 4 exons. The record is from RefSeq and is a predicted model, not a curated record.
UCCGAAGUAUUUCCUCCACAUUCUACAAUUACCAGGCACCGCUGCACACACGAACGGCAAUACAAUAGCCAAAUAAUGUCAACACAAUAAAAAAAAAGAAACAUACUAUGAACGGCAUCCUGCAGGAAGCGUCAACACCUCCGAGGAUUCACAAGCCUAGAAUCGUCCUUGGACGAUGCACGACGCAGACUACGUUCACCGAGCAAAUUGCCGUGCGACAUUUUCGCAUCGAUCGUUCUGCGCCCGUGGAUCAGUCGGAUCAGUCCCUGCCGGCCGGCUCCUGCCCCCCUCAAUGUCAUUCACAUUGACCUCCACCGGAUAAUUCUUGGAAUCAGGCAAAAGCACGCUACACGCGCACCCUCUGGCGAACGAUUUAUGCUCUAAAGUGCAGCAGGAGCGCGUCCUUUCCAUCGCUAGUCUCGUUUUACAAGUGCUCGUCAAAAUGCGGAUUACCAACUCUUUUGCACAUCUGCGAGCACAAAGAAUCGUCUAAAAAGCCGAAGACGGGAUAUUUGCGUGUAUAGCAUUAAUAUGCCGGGAAACAUCUGUACGCCAUUCGAUCGGGCGGCGCGACGAACUAACGGAAACCAUCUCCGAGGUCGAAGAACUACUUCCCCCUGCUUUCGAAUUCCGGUCAGAUGGAAAAUAACCAGCGUCGCAUUUCCGGGCGGCACGUGUGUGUCGCGAGCGAGCGAGCACGCCAG